This 443-nucleotide ribosomal RNA is filed under the name uncultured bacterium. RNAcentral's name for it is "partial 16S ribosomal RNA". It matches the Rfam family "Bacterial small subunit ribosomal RNA", at positions 338 to 795 of the family's 1533-position model. The record is from RNAcentral.
CCUACGGGGGGCUGCAGUGGGGAAUAUUGGGCAAUGGGCGAAAGCCUGACCCAGCAACGCCGCGUGAGGGAAGAAGGUUCUCGGAUUGUAAACCUCUGUCCUUGGGGAAGAAAAAAAUGACGGUACCCAGGGAGGAAGCCCCGGCUAACUACGUGCCAGCAGCCGCGGUAAUACGUAGGGGGCAAGCGUUGUCCGGAAUUACUGGGCGUAAAGGGUGCGUAGGCGGUUGCCUAAGUCAGAUGUGAAAUCCCCGGGCUUAACCCGGGUGGUGCAUUUGAAACUGGGUGACUAGAGUGCAGGAGAGGGAAGCGGAAUUCCUAGUGUAGCGGUGAAAUGCGUAGAUAUUAGGAGGAACACCAGUGGCGAAGGCGGCUUUCUGGACUGUAACUGACGCUGAGGCACGAAAGCGUGGGGAGCAAACAGGAUUAGAUACCCCGGUAGUC